UGCGCAGGCGGGUUUGUAAGUCAGUGGUGAAAUCCUGCCGCUUAACGGUAGAAUUGCCAUUGAUACUGCGAAUCUUGAGUAUGGUUGAGGUAGGCGGAAUGUGUAGUGUAGCGGUGAAAUGCACAGAUAUUACACAGAACUCCGAUUGCGAAGGCAGCUUACUAAGCCAUAACUGACGCUGAGGCACGAAAGCGUGGGGAGCGAACAGGAUUAGAUACCCUGGUAGUCC
RNAcentral lists this ribosomal RNA (229 nucleotides) under uncultured bacterium. RNAcentral's name for it is "partial 16S ribosomal RNA". It matches the Rfam family "Bacterial small subunit ribosomal RNA", at positions 568 to 796 of the family's 1533-position model. The record is from RNAcentral.